GGAAAUUGCCUUUUCGGGAGGUGAGAGCCCAAAAACGCCGGAAUUUACCCCAAAAAUAAUCCCCCAAAAUAACUGCAAAAAUACCCGCCAAAAAACGACCAAAAUAACCCCAAAAUCCCCCCCAAAAUCCCCCCAUGGUGAUGCUGGGGCUGGCACUGACCGGGAGGUUUCCAUUGUGCAAGGCGAGACCCCAAAACGGCCCAAAUUAACCCCAAAAUUAACCCCAAAAAAAUGUGACCAAAAUAACCCCAAAACCCCCCCGGUGCCACCAUCCCCAGGUGUCGCUGUCACCUGUGCCCAGCUGUGCCAGGUGUGUCACCUGUCUGUCCCAGGUGUAGCUGCCCUGUCCCAGGUGUGUCCCUGACCCCUGUUGUGUUGUGUUACCUGUCCCAGGUGUGUCACCUGUCUGUCCCACCUGUCCCAGGUGUGUCACCUGUCUGUCCCACCUGUCCCACCUGUCCCACCUGUCCCAGGUGUGUCACUUUUCUGUCCCACCUGUCCCAGGUGUGUCACCUGCCCUGUCCCACCUGUGUCACCUGUCUGUCCCACCUGUCCCAGGUAUACCUGCCCUGUCCCAGGUGUGUCACUGUCCCACCUGUGCCCACCUGUCCCAGGUGUGUCACCUGUCUGUCCCACCUGUCCCCACCUGUCUGUCCCACCUGUCCCAGGUGUGUCCCUGACCCCUGUUGUGUUGUGUUACCUGUCCCAGGUGUGUCACUGUCCCACCUGUCACUUGUCCCAGGUGUCCCACCUGUCUGUCCCACCUGUCCAGGUGUACCUGUCCUGUCCCAGGUGUGUCACUGUCCCACCUGUCCAGGUGUACCUGCCCUGUCCCAGGUGUGUCACUGUCCCACCUGUCACCUGUCCCAGGUGUCCCACCUGUCUGUCCCACCUGUCCAGGUGUACCUGUCCUGUCCCACCUGUCUCACCUGUCCCACCUGUCCAGGUGUACCUGCCCUGUCCCAGGUGUGUCACUGUCCCACCUGUCACCUGUCCCAGGUGUGUCACUGUCCCACCUGUCACCUGUCCCAGGUGUGUCACUUUUCUGUCCCACCUGUCCCACCUGUCCCAGGUGUACCUGCCCUGUCCCAGGUGUGUCAGUU
RNAcentral lists this long non-coding RNA (1103 nucleotides) under Zonotrichia albicollis (white-throated sparrow). RNAcentral describes it as "lncRNA (ENSZALG00000002146.1)". Lineage: Eukaryota; Metazoa; Chordata; Aves; Passeriformes; Passerellidae. The record is from RNAcentral.